CAGUCUCCAGGUGUCGGCCCUUAUUAGCAUUCAUCAACAACAAGUUCAGACGAUACGUGGUCCCUAAAAGAGAACUAUGUGUCGAUAAAACGUUAGUUGGAAGAGGAGGUCACAGUGUCAUGCGACAGUAUACAUACAGAAUGUAUUCCAUCUUAAGCAUCUAAAUAUGGCGUUACGUUUUGGAUGUUAUGUGAAGCCGCUACAGGUUACAUUAUGCAGAUGUUUGUCUAUAGAGGAAAAGAGUUUGACCCGACACCAAGAGGCGAGCUUCAAGGCACUAAUGUUGUUCAUGACCUGCUGAGUGCGUCAGAACUUCUAAAUAAAGGUUACCAUGUCUUCUGCGACAGUUUCUUUUGCUCCAUACAUCUAGGAACAGCUCUUCUGAGAUGCAGAACCUAUCUAACAGGUACUCUCAGGAAAAACAGACCGAUGCCACUUACCAUAAGGAACGGAAAUCCUAAUCCUGAGACACCUAUAUACAUGAGAAAUGGUCAAAUGUUAUGUCUCGUUUAUCGAGACAAUGAUGACAAGAAACCUACUAGGUUACUAAGUACACUUAUCCCAGCUCAGCAGCUACCUACCGGAAGGCCACGGAUUGUCCAAAGUUACAAUAAGUAUAUGGGCGCUGUAGACUUACUGUUAUCAAAGGAAAAACAAAAAUGUGUGGAAAAAGAUUGUACUGAAUUUAUUUCACAGAAUCAUGCUGAACGCGUACAUUCUUUACAGUCAAAAUACUUCAGAUCGCCCCGUAAUGUCCCGAUUAAAAUUUAUUCAGCUUGUUGUCGAGUCACUUGCUGAUUUAGGACAUAUAAAUGCGUUACCAAGAAACCGACGUCCAAGGCAGAGGCUGGAUUUGCUCCCAGGGCGAAGGGAAAAAGACUGUUGUGUUUGUUCAACACGAGCUGCGGGGGGUAUUAGGAGGCGAAGUAGGACAGUUUGCUCAAUAUGUUAACGCGGAGUCCACAGGCACUGUCUUACGAGGCACGCAGUAUGUAAUGAACAAUAAAACAAUUCUACUGUACAUUGUAUUGUUACUAACGAGUAAGGUGGUGCUGGAAGGGUUAGUGUAUUUUCUACGCCUAAAUGUUUAUGAGAAAUAACACAAGAAAAAUGUUAUUGUUGUCGUUAAACUGUAGUGAGAAGAAUUAACAGAUUGUAAUCGUACAUGUAUUUCUAAAGCUUGUGUUCAUCUGUUUGUUAUGAUGCAAUAAAAUAAGUAUAGAAUAAAUAACUUCAUCACUACUGAUUAUGAA
Long non-coding RNA from Pecten maximus, 1253 nucleotides. RefSeq lists it as uncharacterized. The transcript is spliced from 2 exons. NCBI's taxonomy places the organism in Eukaryota, Metazoa, Mollusca, Bivalvia, Pectinida, Pectinidae. The record is from RefSeq and is a predicted model, not a curated record.